This 104-nucleotide non-coding RNA is filed under the name Thalassiosira minuscula. Lineage: Eukaryota; Bacillariophyta; Thalassiosirophyceae; Thalassiosirales; Thalassiosiraceae. The record is from RNAcentral.
GGUCGAGUAGGUCGAAUGAUGUCUCACGGCUGUCUCACUUUUUUUAUUAUUUUUGAUUUUUUUACUCUACUCAGAUGUCAGAAUUUUAGGCCAAAAAAAAAGGA